AGUGGGAAUAAUGAGGGAGAAUUAAGAUAAUCAUGUGCUUUCUCAUAAGCUAAACAACUUUCACACCUUUCCCCACGAAUGAAAGUCAAACCUCUCCCUCUUUCCUCACACAACUCUCCAAGAACUAAUUUCUCUGUUCCACAAUCCAAAUUCUUCGCAAUCUCCAUUGAAGAAUUUGUAUUCACAGCAAUGAGUUCCAUAUCCUUAUUCCUCUCUAUAUACUCUCACCAAUACUAAAUCAGUUUGACCAGAGAAAUUCGAGUUUGGAAUUGUUGCGAUGGCAGAAGCUGUUGUGUCGACUGCUCUGGAAACCUUGCGCGAUUUGUUGGUGGAAGAAGCAAGGUUUUUAUCCGGUGUGGGUGACGAAGUGAAGGAGCACGAGAUCCAGCUCAAAGAGAUGAAGUGUCUUCUCAAAGAUGCCGACAGAAGACGACAUGAAAAUGAAAUCAUUUUCAAUUGGAUCUCAGAGAUCAAAGAUCUUGUGUACAGAGCAGAAGCUGCCAUUGAAAGACACUCAGCUCAUCAAGUGACUUCAAGGAGAAGACGAGGCCUCAGACAGCUCGUCCGCAAAUGUAGUUGUAGUUUGAAAGAAUACAAGUCGAUCCACCAAUUAGGCUCGGAGAUUUCACCGAUCAAAUCACGACUUGAAAGAAUAAACAAGGAAAUGUUAGAAAGUGGCAUAAAGAAGAGCAUCAUCAACAAUACAGAUGAAGGGGAAAGCUCGUCCGCCAACAACAGGGCAAGGAAGAGCUUUCCCGAAUUCGAGAUCGGAGACUGUUUUGUGGGGAUGAAAGAUGAGCUCAAGCAGCUUCUUCAUCUCCUAGUGGAAGAAAAUGUUGAGAAAAUUGGGAAAGAAAUGGUGAAGAAAUGUGGGUAUUUGCCGUUGCCAAUUUCUUUACUCGGUGGGGUCUUGAGAAAGAAAAAUUCGAUGAUGGAGCGGGAGUUAGUCAAAGAAAUCUAUAUACGAUGUGGAUAGGGUAAACUUUCAUAGCUUAAAUUUAGCACUCCAUUAUAUCUUAGGAAUCUAUAUACGAUGUGGAUAGCACAAGGCAUGAUUUCAUAUGAGAAUAUUGGAGACAAGGACAAAACUUUGAUGGAAAUUGCCGAGCUCUACUUGGGUGAGUUGGCCUCCAGGUCCAUCGUCCAACUUGAAAUUAAUUACGGCGAUGCUGUCACAAGUGGAAGAAAAUAUAGGAGCUGCAAACUUCAUGAUGUAGUAAGAGAACUAUGUUUGAAAUUGGGGAGAAGUGAGGAUUUUGGUGCUCAGAGUUUGGAGUAUCAAAGUGGGAAAGCUUCCUCGCAUAGGAAAAUACGGCAUUUGGCUAUACAUUUCAGGAAGGAAGUUCAAGUGGAACCUGACGAGCUUACACUCACUUGGGGAGAAGAUAGUAGUGAACAUUUAAGGUCUCUUCAAAUGUUCAGUCACAUAAAUUCGGGUGUUGUUGAGUUUCCCCCGCAAGGUAUUGUUGAUUUUCAGAAAUUCAAAUUGCUGAGAGAUCUAGGUAUGGUGGGAUUCAAAUUUGAAGGAAGAAAGUUAUCGAAAGGAAUCACUAGUCUUGUUCACCUUAGACGUUUGUGUUUAGAAAAAUGUGAAUUUGAUAAGCUACCAUUGUCCAUAAGGAAUUUGAUAUACAUGGAUACCCUUGAUUUAAGUUAUUCGAUGAAUGUUGGAGUUCCAAAUGUUUUUAAGGAGAUGGUACGUUUAAAGCACUUGUUUCUUCCCAAUUAUGAUGAGGAAAAAAUUGGAAGUUAUCGAUUGACAUUGGACGAGGGAGUGAUUGAGUUGGAGACCCUGUGGAAUUUGGAUAGUCGAGUGCAUGACUUAAAAUGUAUGAACAGAAUGAAGAAUCUGCGAACUUUCUCAACAAAAAUAUACGACAACGAAAGCUUGUCAGCCAUCAUCGACGUCAUUGCUCUCAUGGAAAUGUUACAGCAUUGUUGGGUUGGAAUCAAAAAGGGUUGCGAGUUAGGAACAAAUAAGGGAGUGUUAACGCUGAAGAAGGUAAUCACAUGUCCCAAUCUUGAUUCCUUAUGGAUUGAAGUUAAGUUAGGGAAGGCGCUGGCACUGGCAGAGUGCGGGAGUGACUUCAUCAGUUCAAAACUUUUAAGUUUGGUCCUGUCAGAAUGUGAGAUUGAGGAUGAUCCAAUGGGGAUACUGGGGAAGCUUCCUUGCUUGAUAGAGUUGUAUUUAGACAAUGAAUCAUUUGUGGGGAGGAGAUGAUGUGUCCAUCAAACAGUUUUCCUCGCCUCAAGAAGCUUAGUGCUCGUUUGGUUCAAGUAGAGGAAUGGAAAGGGAAUGGAAUCAAAUAAAGGAGUGGAAUGGUAACAAUAACCAUUACUUUUAUUGAGUGUUUGGUUUAACAAUGGAAAUGAAUCAUUAGUAAGGGAUUCUCUUUCAUUUGUUUCCCCUCUAUUUUGAGGGGUAACAAAUUGGGUGAUUGGGUUACCCUCAAGUAAGGGUAAUGAUUAUCUUAUUAUCCAAACCAAACAACAAAUAAUGGAUUCAAUUACUUUAUUCCCUUUCCAACCUCUAAAAACACUCAACCAACGUGGGCUUAGUUUAUAUCUAUUACCAAAGUUGAGGGAGUGGAGAGUGGAGGCAGGAGCCAUGCCCCUUCUCUCUCAAUUACAAAUAGAUGAGUGUUCUAAUCUGGAGAUGCUUCCAGAUGGAUUGAGUCUCAUUUCCACUCUUCAGGAACUAGAAAUUAUUGAUAUGCCAGAAUUGGGAAAAAGGGUAUCAACAUCAGGAGAGGAUUUCCACAAAGUCAGCCAUGUCCUUUCAAUUAUCAUCUGAGACAAUUGAUGACUAACUAGUCUAGUUUCCACCCAGGUAAUGCUUGCACCAAUUAAUCUCAUUCUCAAUUCACAAUUCUGUUGCUUCAAUUUUAGUUUUUCUCUAAAAGAUAGGUAUCUCGAUAAGGUUUUAACUUUAAAGCUCGACUCAUUCUAAACUUGUAUCGUCUUGGUUUUUGUUGCAGGGCUUGUUGUUCCAUGUCCCAAGUAUUUCUCUUUAAUUAUUUGCAAUCUUUUCUCUCCUCCCUUGUUUCGCUUUAAUCACUUUUUAAAAAAUAAAUGUGUAUAUUUUUAUUAAUCUGGUUGAAUUUGGUGAUUCUGGACAAUUUAUACUUGCUUAUUUCCAUAUGGAGUUAUUUUGGUAAGAUUCAGUCCAUGAGCCUUUGUUUAUAAUUUCUGGAGAUUUAAGCUUUAUUUAUUUCAGUUCUUGAAUUGUGUUUUUUGUUGCUUGGUUGUUUAGAAUCCAAUAAAUUGAAAACUGGGUUGAUUAAUAUGAACAUGCUAUAAUAAUGAUAGUGUGUGUUUUGAAUAGAUGGAUAUAAAAUCCCGAUUGGUAUACGUAAUUCUUAGCUCAAAAUUCUUCGACUAGUAUCUCUACUGCAGAUGGUUUUGAUUAAGCAAGAAAAAUUGGAUUAGGUUAAUGAUAUUGUUGAAGGAAAUGUAGCGAAGCAGACUUGUGGCGCCUACCUGCUCAACACUAAUUUUAAUUAAAAGUUUUUUCAGUAGGUACUUAUUAGGCUAUGUUCAACUACUCAUAAUUAUGUUAACGAAAUAAGCAUAUUGAAAAAUCAAGAUUUGGCAUUGUAAAAAGAGACAUGCAUGCAUGCCAAAAAAAUAUGAUGAAAUUCUCUGUCCAUAUAUGCCCGAUAUCAUCUGUGAUUCCCUAUUAAUUUAACUAAUUUAAUAAUAUUUAUUAUAAAAUAAAUAAAUAUUAUAUUGUACUAAUCUCAGAAUAAUAAUGACAUAUUAUCGGAUUUAAGGUCCAAAAGAUUAACGAAAAUGCCCCAAAUAUACCUCUAACUAUACUGAAUAAAAUAGGUUCUAUAAAUAGAAUUAUUCAUACUUUCAUUUAUCAGCCCAAUUGCAAAGAUGAGUCCAGCCCAAUUUCAUUCUCUCUCUUCCACUCCCUCUAAAAUGGGCCCAUUCCUUAAUUAAGAGAUCCAACAAACAUAAAUUCGGCCCACAAAUUACCACCACUUCAAUUUAUGUUACGAAAUCCCAUAAUAUGAAGAUAUCGAGAAAUUAAAUAUAGUCGAGGAAGACAAUGUCUAGAAUGUUGAUGAUCCAUUUUAAUAUCAAGUGACUUGUGUGUUAUUGAGAGCUGUAGUUUAAUCCCCAAAUAUCCAUCUCUAAGCUAAAAAGCCAAACAAUAAAUAUACCUCAUCAAAGGUAUAGUAUCUAGAGUUCAUUACUAAUUAAGGAUGGGGCAUGUUUGGUCUUGGUGUUACACCGUUGAUAUGUGCUCAAUAUCAACGGUGUUAAAGAGCAAAUUUUUUCUUGAAAUAUCAUGACUAGCCACAGAUAUUAAAAUAAUAAUAAAUAAUAAUAAAAAAAACACAUAUAUUGCACCACUUCAUCAUUCUUGUGGGGUUAAUGUUGGAAUAAAUGGCUUAAUUAGUCCAUAAUUACAUUGUAAUUAAUGGAAUUAAAUGGCAUAUUUGGAAUCUACAUUUUGAGUAGAGGUAUAUUUACUUGUUCAAAUCUAUUAAGAAUUGAAUGAGUAAUUAAAUGCCAAAAGGUAGCCAUUGAAAAUGGAAAUGUGGAGGGAUGUGGAGGGUCAUCCCACAUUGGAAAAAUAAGGAAGUUGGAAGCUAUUUAUAAAGUGCUCUCCACCAUAAAGGAACAAUCAAGUGUGCUUCUCUAUGGUGGACUUAUGGUGCACCCAAGUGGGUUUUUGACUUAGCCUUUUAAGGCUAAAACUCAAUUCCUACGAGGAAGGUGCGAAGCACCUUCCGAGUCCGAGGCCGAGGCCGAGCACGUGCUUGUCGCAAUGGGCGCUUUGUAGGCGCACUUUGCACUUCGCUCGUUCGCGUCGUCGCGAGGAGCCUUUAGUUUUGACAAAUGAAACGGUGGCUCGUGUGACGUGGCAGUGACGUGGAAACAUGUGGCUCGGUGACGUGGCACCGCGUGGCGGAUAAGGAAUCUGGGUGGNUUAUUAUAUUUAUGGAUAAUUGAUAGUAGUAUAUGAUAAUAUUAUGAGUUUAAGAUUUAGAGUUUUGAUAAGGAAUUUUUGUUCUACUAGAGAUUUCUUUACAUUGUUUUAAUUAAUGAGGUUUGCCCCAGAAUCUUUAAUUUAUUUGUAAUUUUUACACGAGAUUUUAAACUUUAUUUCUUUUCUUGAAUUGUCACUGAAUUCUCGCCGAUCCCUUGAAAGAUGAUUUUGCUUGCUACUGUCUACGCAGUAAGGGCAUACCGAUUGUUUGUCGGGUAUUUUUGGUGUAAAACGACGCACCACAUAUGUUCACUUAUAUAAAAGUUAACUAUCCAAAAAAACACCAUUUCUUGGCCAAGAUUCAAUCCUCAUAUUACGAUAUCUCACUAUUAUCUUCCUUAAGGAACCGAACACCAUCUAAGUUUGCUCAUAAAUAAUUCUUAUUAUCAGCAAAUAUUCAAUCAAAAUGACAGACAGAAAAGCAUCUUUUGUUUUCCUUACAAAAAAAACUAUUCUGCUCCAUACUUCAAUAUGUUGACUGCUUACAAACAAACUGCAAGUUGGGAUUUUACUUACAGACAAUAAAAUUAUUAUAAUAAUUAAUAUAAAGACAAGUUGGCUUUUCUGAAACGCGUAUACAAUGUCCCAAAAAUCUAUCAUUAUAUUGGUUUCGAAGUCAUUUAAAUCGAUAAACAUAGAUUUCUUAUUAGAAUUUUAAUUACUCUUCAACAGCUAAUAGUAGGGUAUGAACGACGAAAUAUAUUGUAUCUGCCAUUCUAAUUAAGCUAAAAACCAAAAAGUAAAAACAUACCUCAGCAUAGUUAUCUAGAGUUCGUUACUGUUGAUAUGUGCUCAAUAUUUGGCUUAGAAAAUGUCAUGAAUAAUAUUAAUUUGUUUACAUGUCAUAGCUAGCUCUAGACAUUUCUUAAAACGUAAUAUAUGUCAUAACUUAGCAAAAGGUGACAGGAAACUACCAUCUUAUGAUGUUUAGUUCAUAUCAUAGGCUAAAUUAUUGUAUUAAUAACAUUAAUAAACUCUUAUUGGCUUAAAGCGCCUUAAUUACUCACAACAAUUCAUUAUGCCAGCUAAUGAUGAAUCACCUUAUCAUUUUUUAUACCAUAUUAUUGAGUUAAUUAAGAUAAUGUGCUUUCUCAUAAGCUAAACUACUUUCACACUUUUCCCCACCAACGACAGUCAAACCUCUCCCUUUUUCCUCACACAACUCUCCAAGAACUAAUUUCUCUGUUCCAGAAUCAAAAUCCUUUGCAAUCUCCAUUGAAGAACUUGUAUUCACAACAACGAGUUCCUUAUCCUUAUUCCUCUACACACACUCUCACCAAUAGUAAAUCAAUUUGACCAAGAAAUUCGAGUUUGGAAUUGUUGCGAUGGCAGAAGCAGUGGUGUCGACUGCUCUGGAAACCUUGCGCGAUUUGUUGUUGGAAGAAGCAAGGUUUUUAUAUGGUGUGGGCGAUGAAGUGA
This 6424-nucleotide long non-coding RNA is filed under the name Salvia miltiorrhiza (redroot sage). Its description in RNAcentral is "long non-coding RNA (SMIL_LNC006614)". Lineage: Eukaryota; Viridiplantae; Streptophyta; Magnoliopsida; Lamiales; Lamiaceae. The record is from RNAcentral.